Molecule: ribosomal RNA, 516 nt
Filed under: uncultured bacterium
Lineage: Bacteria
Description: bacterial SSU rRNA
Rfam family: Bacterial small subunit ribosomal RNA
Source: RNAcentral
CAGGACGAACGCUGGCGGCGUGCCUAACACAUGCAAGUCAACGGGGAUUUGUUUCGGCAGAAUCCUAGUGGCGAACGGGUGAGUAACGCGUAGGCAACCUGCCCUCCGGCCGGGGGACAACACUCCGAAAGGGGUGCUAAUACCGGAUACGAAGUCUGUGCCGCAUGGUACGGAUUUGAAAGAUGGCCUCUAUUUAUAAGCUAUCGCCGGGGGAUGGGCCUGCGUCCGAUUAGCUGGUUGGUGGGGUAACGGCCUACCAAGGCGACGAUCGGUAGCCGGUCUGAGAGGAUGAACGGCCACAUUGGGACUGAGACACGGCCCAGACUCCUACGGGAGGCAGCAGUGGGGAAUCUUCCGCAAUGGGCGCAAGCCUGACGGAGCAACGCCGCCGUGAGUGAGGAAGUUCUUCGGAACGUAAAGCUCUGUUGUUCCUGACGAACCUCCCCUUUAUCAACAACGGAGGGGACUGACGGUAGGGAACGAGGAAGCCACGGCUAACUACGUGCCAGCAGCCGC